RNAcentral lists this ribosomal RNA (551 nucleotides) under uncultured bacterium. RNAcentral describes it as "bacterial SSU rRNA". It matches the Rfam family "Bacterial small subunit ribosomal RNA", at positions 567 to 1116 of the family's 1533-position model. The record is from RNAcentral.
GUGUGUAGGCGGUUGUUUAAGUUUGGUGUGAAAUCUCCCGGCUCAACUGGGAGGGUGCGCCGAAUACUGAAUGACUCGAGUGCGGGAGAGGAGAGUGGAAUUCCUGGUGUAGCGGUGAAAUGCGUAGAUAUCAGGAGGAACACCGGCGGUGUAGACGGCUCUCUGGACCGUAACUGACGCUGAGACACGAAAGCGUGGGUAGCAAACAGGAUUAGAUACCCUGGUAGUCCACGCCCUAAACGAUGCAUAUUUGGUGUGGGUCAUUCAGUUGAUCCGUGCCGGAGCUAACGCGUUAAAUAUGCCGCCUGGGGAGUACAGUCGCAAGGCUGAAACUCAAAGGAAUUGACGGGGGCCCGCACAAGCGGUGGAGCAUGUGGUUCAAUUCGACGCAACGCGAAGAACCUUACCUGGGCUCGAACGGCCGGUUACCGGCGGUGGAAACAUCGCUACCCCGCAAGGGGGUCCGGUCGAGGUGCUGCAUGGCUGUCGUCAGCUCGUGUCGUGAGAUGUUGGGUUAAGUCCCGCAACGAGCGCAACCCUUGUCCUGUGUU